This is a long non-coding RNA of Ostrinia furnacalis (Asian corn borer), 937 nucleotides long. RefSeq lists it as uncharacterized. Lineage: Eukaryota; Metazoa; Arthropoda; Insecta; Lepidoptera; Crambidae. The record is from RefSeq and is a predicted model, not a curated record. The transcript has 2 exons.
CUUGAAUAACAGUAGUCGCUGGAUGCGUCUGAGAGCGGUACAUACGUUGCAAUAUAGCCGUUAUUACAACUGAGUAAGGUGUUAGUGUUUAAUAUGCGCCGUGUCUGCACUGUACCUUUUAGAGACGUGGCGUCAUUUGUCGAUGCUUUUGAAUAGCAAGUCUUAGAGCUCGACGAGAUGCAGUCCCGGCUGGAAGCGCUGCGGUCUUAGAGCGGGCACUUGGAAGAAGGUUAAACGAGCGCAGGAGUCGAGUAACAAACGCCUUUAUGUAAAUAUUAAUUAUUGUUGUAACGAUUAAGUUCGCGCUAGUGAAGUGGUGAUCGUUUUUGAGAUUUGCGCAUCUUCGAGCUUAAUAUUGUUUAAUUUCUAUCUAUGUUUCAUUUACUUGCUGUGCAACUGAUCUGUCUAAAAAUAUAAUUUAUGGGAAUAAUUGGAGUACCUUUACAAUGCUCUCAGUUGAAAUACUGCUUCGUAGAUUUUUAUAGAUAUGCAAAUACUUGAAUUUUAUUUAUAUAACGUCACAUUGUGUACGUUACGCAAAUGCAAUCGCAAACUAACUAAAAAAAGCGUAUUGAACAAUGUAUUUAAAUGUAUUUUUUUACAUAUUAUUAUUCGGUAUUGUGAAAUCGCAAAUGGUGUUUAAUUAAAACUAAUUAAAAAUAGCAACAUUUGAUUCUAUUGUUAUGUUUAAACCUAAUUGGCUCCUUGUAAUUAAUGUUAUACUGGUCGAAUGUCUAUUUAAAUAUUAUGUUAUUAUUUAAAUUCAUAAUAACUGAUGUGUUCUUAGAUGUACAAAAUUAAGUGCAAAUUGCUAAUGUAGUUUUUCGAAGCAUCGUGUAUACUUACAAACUUAAAACAUGAAGAUUUGUUAUAAAAAAUCGUUUAAAGAACAACAGUUUCCAUUAAUUUUAUGAGUAUACUUAAAUAGUCAAGCAAU